UAGGGAAUCUUCGGCAAUGGACGAAAGUCUGACCGAGCAACGCCGCGUGAGUGAAGAAGGUUUUCGGAUCGUAAAACUCUGUUGUUAGAGAAGAACAAGGACGUUAGUAACUGAACGUCCCCUGACGGUAUCUAACCAGAAAGCCACGGCUAACUACGUGCCAGCAGCCGCGGUAAUACGUAGGUGGCAAGCGUUGUCCGGAUUUAUUGGGCGUAAAGCGAGCGCAGGCGGUUUCUUAAGUCUGAUGUGAAAGCCCCCGGCUCAACCGGGGAGGGUCAUUGGAAACUGGGAGACUUGAGUGCAGAAGAGGAGAGUGGAAUUCCAUGUGUAGCGGUGAAAUACGUAGAUAUAUGGAGGAACACCAGUGGCGAAGGCGGCUCUCUGGUCUGUAACUGACGCUGGGGCUCGAAAGCGUGGGGAGCAAACAGG
RNAcentral lists this ribosomal RNA (429 nucleotides) under Gemmatimonadota bacterium. RNAcentral describes it as "Gemmatimonadetes bacterium partial 16S ribosomal RNA". It matches the Rfam family "Bacterial small subunit ribosomal RNA", at positions 355 to 776 of the family's 1533-position model. The record is from RNAcentral. Lineage: Bacteria; Pseudomonadati; Gemmatimonadota.